RNAcentral lists this ribosomal RNA (497 nucleotides) under uncultured bacterium. Its description in RNAcentral is "partial 16S ribosomal RNA". It matches the Rfam family "Bacterial small subunit ribosomal RNA", at positions 28 to 507 of the family's 1533-position model. The record is from RNAcentral.
GACGAACGCUGGCGGCGUGCCUAAUACAUGCAAGUAGAACGCUGAAGGCAGGAGCUUGCUCUUUCUGGCUGAGUUGCGAACGGGUGAGUAACGCGUAGGUAACCUGCCUGGUAGCGGGGGAUAACUAUUGGAAACGAUAGCUAAUACCGCAUAAAAUUGAUUAUUGCAUGAUUGUCAAUUAAAAGGUGCAACUGCACCACUACCAGAUGGACCUGCGUUGUAUUAGCUAGUUGGUGGGGUAACGGCUCACCAAGGCGACGAUACAUAGCCGACCUGAGAGGGUGAGCGGCCACACUGGGACUGGGACACGGCCCAGACUCCGACGGGAGGCAGCAGUAGGGGAUCGUCGGCAAUGGACGGAAGUCUGAGCGAGCAACGGCGCGUGAGUGAAGAAGGUGUUCGGAUCGUAAAGCUCUGUUGUAAGAGAAGAACGAGUGUGAGAGUGGAAAGUUCACAUGGUGACGGUAUCAUACCAGAAAGGGACGGCUAACUACGUG